RNAcentral lists this long non-coding RNA (1143 nucleotides) under Canis lupus familiaris (dog). RNAcentral describes it as "lncRNA (ENSCAFG00805010994.1, ENSCAFG00845023906.1)". The record is from RNAcentral. Lineage: Eukaryota; Metazoa; Chordata; Mammalia; Carnivora; Canidae.
UUUUUUUUUUUUUUUAAAUAUUUUAUUUAUUUAUUCAUGAGAGACACAGAGAAAGACAGAGAGAGAGGCAGAGGGAAAAGCAGGCUCCGUGCAGGCAGCCUGAUGUGGGAUUCGAUCCCGGGACUCCAGGAUCACGCUCCAAGCCAAAGGCAGGCGCUAAAUCACUGAGCCACCCAGGGAUCCCCUCUUUUCUUUUCGUAAAGAUUUUAUUUAUUCAUUCAUGAGACACACACACACACAGAGGCAGAGACACAGGCAGAGGGAGAAGCAGGCCCCCUGCGGGGAGCCCAGUGGGGUGGGCUCAAUCCCAGGACCCCAGCACCACCACCAGAGCCAAAGGCAGAUGCUCAACCACUGAGCCACCCAAGGCUCUGGUUUUCUUUAUAUAGAGAAUGGCUGAGUAAUAUUUAAAAACGAAUACUUUUCCUUUAGAAGGAAAUUAAGCAGGAAAUAGAAAAGGUUUUAGUCAUUAUUCUUUAAAUUACUGUAUCUCUUAGCUAAUUCACACAGGAAGCCUGAAAAUUAAGCAGCAUUAAAAUGUGAUGAGUCACUAGUGUAUUUUCCUGCUUGAUUUGAACCUGUUGUUCAUUUCAAUACUUCAUAAACAGUAGUUAAGCUUAAAGAUUAAAAAUAUGUACAUGUAUUUUAUCUUUGAGGCCAAAGACUUGUGAUGUUUAGCAGUGUCUGUAUAAAAAUAUAAAAUAUUCUAAGUAUUUAUUGUAUUUACUACAUUCUAACAGUUUGCUUUGUUAGCAAGGAAAUUUGUUAGGAAAUUAUACAAAUAUUAUAGUUUAAACAUAUACAUGGAUUUUGGGGAAAGGUACAGGCUGAGAUAAUAAAAGACAACAACUUCCAACUAACUACCUGAGGAUUAAAAUAGUAUUAAAUCAAUGAUUGCAAAAUACUAAAAUUAGGCAAAUAGGUAUAUUCAAUAUGUGGUUAAAACUCAACCACAUAUUAAAUAUGUCUAGGUACUUAGAGUGGGGAAACUUGAAUGUGUUUCUCUAUGAACAUUUUACUGAUAAGCUUUUAAAAAUCAAUUGACAAGAUAUAAUUUUUCAUGGAGAAAUUAUAAAAGAAUUAAUAACUCACAUGAAUGCAUAGUAUGUGCAAGGCACUAUUCCUAGAACUCUAUAGGUAAUG